This 457-nucleotide ribosomal RNA is filed under the name uncultured bacterium. RNAcentral describes it as "partial 16S ribosomal RNA". It matches the Rfam family "Bacterial small subunit ribosomal RNA", at positions 338 to 795 of the family's 1533-position model. The record is from RNAcentral.
CCUACGGGCGGCAGCAGUGGGGAAUAUUGCACAAUGGGGGAAACCCUGAUGCAGCGACGCCGCGUGAGUGAAGAAGUAUUUCGGUACGUAAAGCUCUAUCAGCAGGGAAGAAAAAAAGUCCUUUGGCCUUUGGCCGGUCCCUGACUACGAAGCCCCGGCUAACUACGUGCCAGCAGCCGCGGUAAUACGUAGGGGGCAAGCGUUAUCCGGAUUUACUGGGUGUAAAGGGAGCGUAGACGGCAGCGCAAGUCUGGAGUGAAAUGCCGGGGCCCAACCCCGGAACUGCUUUGGAAACUGUGCAGCUGGAGUGCAGGAGAGGUAAGCGGAAUUCCUAGUGUAGCGGUGAAAUGCGUAGAUAUUAGGAGGAAUACCAGUGGCGAAGGCGGCUUACUGGACUGUAACUGACGUUGAGGCUCGAAAGCGUGGGGAGCAAACAGGAUUAGAUACCCGUGUAGUC